This 518-nucleotide ribosomal RNA is filed under the name uncultured bacterium. Its description in RNAcentral is "bacterial SSU rRNA". It matches the Rfam family "Bacterial small subunit ribosomal RNA", at positions 9 to 524 of the family's 1533-position model. The record is from RNAcentral.
GAGUUUGAUCGUGGCUCAGAAUGAACGCUGGCGGCGUGCUUUACACAUGCAAGUCGAGCGAGGCGUGUAGCAAUACACAGUCGAGCGGCGAACGGGUGAGUAACGCGUGGAUUAUCUGCCCUGAGGUGGGGGAUAACCCGGGGAAACUCGGGCUAAUACCGCAUAUGACCGUGAGGUCAAAGGGGGGUCGCAAGAUCUCUCGCCAUAGGAGGAGUCCGCGUCCGAUUAGCUAGUUGGUAGGGUAAUGGCCUACCAAGGCGACGAUCGGUAGCCGGCCUGAGAGGGUGAUCGGCCACACUGGAACUGAGACACGGUCCAGACUCCUACGGGAGGCAGCAGUGGGGAAUUUUGCGCAAUGGGCUAACGCCUGACGCAGCAACGCCGCGUGGAGGAUGAAGGUCCUUGGAUUGUAAACUCCUGUCAGCAGGGAAAAAGCAACCUAACCUCAUACGUUAGGAAGUUGAUUGUACCUGCAGAGGAAGCCCGGCUAACUCUGUGCCAGCAGCCGCCGCAGUAAU